This 334-nucleotide unclassified non-coding RNA is filed under the name soil metagenome. RNAcentral's name for it is "partial contains 5.8S ribosomal RNA, internal transcribed spacer 2, and large subunit ribosomal RNA". The stretch from base 1 to 120 matches the Rfam family "5.8S ribosomal RNA", at positions 35 to 154 of the family's 154-position model. The record is from RNAcentral.
GAUGAAGAACGUAGCGAAACGCGAUAUGUAAUGUGAAUUGCAGAAUUCAGUGAAUCAUCGAAUCUUUGAACGCACAUUGCGCCCGCCAGUAUUCUGGCGGGCAUGCCUGUUCGAGCGUCAUUUCAACCAUCAAGCCCUGCUUGCGUUGGGGUCCUGCGGCUGCCCGCAGGCCCUGAAAACCAGUGGCGGGCUCGCUAGUCACACCGAGCGCAGUAAUACAUCUCGCUUUGGGCGUGCGGCGGGUUCUUGCCGUUAAACACCCCCUUUUUACCAAGGUUGACCUCGGAUCAGGUAGGAAUACCCGCUGAACUUAAGCAUAUCAAUAAGCGGAGGA